Molecule: long non-coding RNA, 1062 nt
Filed under: Capra hircus (goat)
Lineage: Eukaryota; Metazoa; Chordata; Mammalia; Artiodactyla; Bovidae
Description: lncRNA (ENSCHIG00010011504.1)
Source: RNAcentral
AACUAGAUAGAAUUUUGAAGAUUCGAGAUACCCCCAGAUUCGUACAUAUCUAAAAAUGCAAUUUAAUGCACCACUUAAGUCAUGCAAUUAAACACAAUAUAUGAAAGGAAGAUACCAUGAAAAUACUAUUUUUCCAUUCAUUUCACUGUUCUAGUCUGAGACAAACUGCCCAGGGCAUUUUAGAAUUCUCGGUACUCCAAAAUUGUUUUUAAAUGAUUUGGGAUUAGAUGGCAUCUAAAUCCUUUUCAAAAGGAUUUGUACGCUAUGCACUUGGCAUAAUGGAUUUCGGGUUUUUUUCUCCAGAACAGCAGUUUACAGAAUAAAUCAAUAGGGGUGUCUGUUUCACAGGCUUGUCACUCCUACCCAGAGCCUCAUCUCUUUCUAGGUCUUUCCCCACGCCAUCCUUCAGCCUCAUUAACCUGUCUGCUGGCACUCUGUAAAAAGCAAAGGCAAGACCAUUUCAGACUUCUUUGAACCAGAGUGGGAUACUUGUAAAGGAUGCUUUAAAUGGUUUCAUAAUUUAGUAAGCAAAACUGUCUAACGCCAGAUAUGACUGGCAUACACAUACUGCAGCCAAUUGUCAUACCCCAUCCCGCUUAAGCCAUUUUUAGUGAGGCAUUUUAGCUUUCAUCCUCAAAAAGUCAGAUUCUCUGGAGAGCAGAAAUGAUAGGAACUUCUAACAGAUAAAAACAUUAGAUAAUAUGAAAAUUUAAAAAUAGCACAGGCUAUUACCAGACAUUCAGAACUCCUGGACAAGUUACUUAACCUCUAAGCCUCAAUUUCAACCCCCUUUUUUUUUUUAAUGAUAAAGAAAAAAAAAGUAGUACCUUUCCUCAAAAGGAAGGGGGUUAAAGGAAACUUUCCAGAUAUGGUGAAGAACACAUAAAAGCUCAACACUAAUUAUGAUGAUGCCAGAAUUCCUAUGUCUUCAUGAAUCGAUCCUUCUUGACACAUUACCUGACUAGUCUUGAGGACUGGGCCUCAAUUACCUCAUCUUUAAGCUAUACAUCCAUCUCUGAGGCUAUGGCUUUCUUGCUGCUGCUGCUUUGUUGCUUCAGUCAU